AGUGAACGCUGGCGGUAGGCCUAACACAUGCAAGUCGAACGGCAGCACAGUAAGAGCUUGCUCUUACGGGUGGCGAGUGGCGGACGGGUGAGGAAUACAUCGGAAUCUACUUUUUCGUGGGGGAUAACGUAGGGAAACUUACGCUAAUACCGCAUACGACCUACGGGUGAAGGCAGGGGAUCUUCGGACCUUGCGCGAUUGAAUGAGCCGAUGUCGGAUUAGCUAGUUGGCGGGGUAAAGGCCCACCAAGGCGACGAUCCGUAGCUGGUCUGAGAGGAUGAUCAGCCACAUUGGAACUGAGACACGGUCCAGACUCCUACGGGAGGCAGCAGUGGGGAAUAUUGGACAAUGGGCGCAAGCCUGAUCCAGCCAUACCGCGUGGGUGAAGAAGGCCUUCGGGUUGUAAAGCCCUUUUGUUGGGAAAGAAAAGCAGCAGGUUAAUACCCCGCUGUUCUGACGGUACCCAAAGAAUAAGCACCGGCUAACUUCGUG
This 492-nucleotide ribosomal RNA is filed under the name uncultured bacterium. RNAcentral describes it as "partial 16S ribosomal RNA". It matches the Rfam family "Bacterial small subunit ribosomal RNA", at positions 29 to 507 of the family's 1533-position model. The record is from RNAcentral.